Molecule: ribosomal RNA, 946 nt
Filed under: uncultured euryarchaeote
Lineage: Archaea; Methanobacteriati; Methanobacteriota
Description: bacterial SSU rRNA
Rfam family: Archaeal small subunit ribosomal RNA
Source: RNAcentral
CGAGUGCUUACAUUAUAUGUAAGCUUUUGCCAAGAGUUCACAUCUUGGAGAAUAAGUGGUGGGAAAGACCGGUGCCAGCAGCCGCGGUAACCCCGGCGCCACAAGUGGCAAUCUUAUAUUGGGCCUAAAGCAUUCGUAGCAGGUUUAAAAAAUCCUUUGUGAAAUCGUCGAACUCAAUACGACGGCGUGCAGGGGACACUUUUAGACUAGAGACUGGGAGGAGUUGGGGGUAUGCCUUGGGGAGCGGUUAAAUGUGAUAAUCCAAGGUAGACCACCUGUGGCGAAGGCGCCCAACUAGAACAGUUCUGACUGUGAGGGAUGAAAGCUAGGGGAGCGAUCCGGAUUAGAUACCCGAGUAGUCCUAGCCGUAAACACUGUGAGCUAGGUGUCGCAUAUUCUACGAGAAUAUGCGGUGUCGAAAAGAAGUUGAUAAGCUCACCGCCUGGGAAGUACGGUCGCAAGACUGAAACUUAAAGGAAUUGGCGGGGGAAUACACCAGGAGUGCGGCGUGCGGUUUAAUCUAACUCAACGCAGAACACCUUACUAGAAGCGACGGCAGGAUGAAGAUCAGUCUGAAGGGCUUAUCUGACGAGCCGAGAGGUAGUGCAUGGCCGCCGUCAGCUCGUGUCGUAAGAUGUCCUGUUAAGUCAGGCAACGAGCAAGACCUGCGCCUAUAAUUGCAAACAGGCCCUUCGGGGUGACUGUGCACAUUAUAGGGACUGCCUUCGUAAGAAGGAGGAAGGUGCAGGCAAUGGUAGGUCUGUAUGCUCCGAAUCUUCUAGGCUACACGCGCGCAACAGUGGUAAAGACAAUGGGAUGCAACUCCGUAAGGAGAAGCUAAUCCUCGAAACUUUAUCGUAGUUUAGAUUGUGGGUUGCAACUCACCCACAUGACAACGGAAUUCCUAGUAAUCAGACUUCAUCAUAGUCUGGUGAAUAUGCCCCUG